UGGACCUGAUAUCAGGCAAGAUU
Molecule: ribosomal RNA, 23 nt
Filed under: Phytophthora citricola
Lineage: Eukaryota; Oomycota; Peronosporomycetes; Peronosporales; Peronosporaceae
Description: partial 28S ribosomal RNA
Source: RNAcentral